UUCGUCUGAAGGGGAGAGUGGCGAACGGGUGAGUAACACGUGGGUGACCUGCCUCGAAGACGGGGAUAACCACUGGAAACGGUGGCUAAUACCCGAUGGUCUCGAUAAUUCGGUUUAUCGAGUAAAGGCUCCGGCGCUUUGAGAGGGACCUGCGGCCCAUCAGCUAGUUGGUAGGGUAAUGGCCUACCAAGGCAAAGACGGGUAGGGGGCGUGAGAGCGUGACCCCCCACACUGGCACUGGGACACGGGCCAGACUCCUACGGGAGGCAGCAGUGAGGAAUAUUGCGCAAUGAGCGAAAGCUAGACGCAGCAACGCCGCGUGGGUGAUGAAGGCCUUCGGGUCGUAAAAACCCUUUUCUGGGGGAAGAGUAAGGACGGUACCCCAGGGAAUAAAGCCUCGGUUAACUAUGUGCCAGCAGCCGCGGUAAUAACAUAAGGGAGGCAAGCGUAAUCCGGAUUUACUGGGCGUAAAGAGCGUUGAGGCGGCUUCGUAAGUUGGACGUGAAGCUCCCCGCUUUACUUGGAGAGGCCGCUCAAUACUGCCGGGGCUUGGAGACAACAAAGGGGGUGUGAAUUUCCCGUGUAGUGGUGAAAUGCGUAGAUAUCGGAAAGGAACAACAUGGCCGAAAGCGGCCCACUGGCGUGCUCCUGACGGCUGAAGCCGAAAGCUAGGGUAGCGAACGGGAUUAGAAACCGCGGUAGUCCUAGCCGUAAACGAUGGAUACUAGGUGUAGGAGGGUUAAAUUCCCUUCUGUGCCGGAGGCUUACGCGGUAAGGUAUCCCGCCUGGGGAGGUACGGUUCGCAAGGCUAAACUCANNAAGGAAUUUGACGGGGGCCCGCACAAGCAACGGAGCGUGUGGUUNAAUUCGAUGCAACGCGAAGAACCUUACCAGGGCUUGACAUGUAGUUAGUAGUGAAGCGAAAGCGGAACGAUCCUUCGGGAAGCCUACACAGGUGCUGCAUGGCUGUCGUCAGCUCGUGCCGUGAGGUGUUAGGUUAAGUCCUG
This 1007-nucleotide ribosomal RNA is filed under the name uncultured organism. RNAcentral describes it as "bacterial SSU rRNA". It matches the Rfam family "Bacterial small subunit ribosomal RNA", at positions 76 to 1089 of the family's 1533-position model. The record is from RNAcentral.